GUGCCAGCAGCCGCGGUAAGACGUAGGACGCAAGCGUUAUCCGGAUUUACUGGGCGUAAAGCGCCUGUAGGCGGUCAAGUAAGUCGGAUGUGAAAGCCCCGUGCUCAACGCGGGGAAGCCAUUCGAUACUGCGUGACUAGAGAACGGCAGAGGGAAACGGAAUUUCUGGUGUAGCGGUAAAAUGCGCAGAGAUCAGAAAGAACACCGAUGGCGAAGGCAGUUUCCUAGGCCGCAUCUGACGCUGAGAGGCGAAAGCUAGGGGAGCAAACAGGAUUAGAGACCCUGGUAGUCCUAGCUGUAAACGAUGGAUGCUAGGUGUGGGCCGGAAAGGUCCGUGCCGUAGUUAACGCGAUAAGCAUCCCGCCUGGGGAGUACGGCCGCAAGGCUAAAACUCAAACGAAUUGACGGGGACCCGCACAAGCAGCGGAGCGUGUGGUUUAAUUCGAUGCUACACGCAGAACCUUACCUGGGCUUGACAUGUAGGUGGUAGUGAAGUGAAAGCGGAGCGACCCUUCGGGGAGCCUACACAGGUGCUGCAUGGCUGUCGUCAGCUCGUGCCGUGAGGUGUCGGGUUAAGUCCCGUAACGAGCGCAACCCUUGUCCUUAGUUACAAGUGUCUAAGGAGACUGCCGGUGACAAACCGGAGGAAGGUAGGGAUGACGUCAAGUCAGCAUGGCCCUUAUGUCCAGGGCGACACACACGCUACAAUGGUCGGUACAAUGGGCAGCGCAGCCGCGAGGUGAAGCGAAUCCCAACAAAGCCGAUCCCAGUUCGGAUUGCAGGCUGCAACCCGCCUGCAUGAAGCCGGAGU
Molecule: ribosomal RNA, 811 nt
Filed under: uncultured organism
Description: bacterial SSU rRNA
Rfam family: Bacterial small subunit ribosomal RNA
Source: RNAcentral